GACACUGUGGCCACCAGUGACCCAGAAAUCCCACAGCUCCCUGCAAGUUCAGGCUGGGUAACCUAUGUGAGGGGCAGCCCUGGGCUGAUCCCACCUAAGCCACUUCCCGCAAGUAUCAGCUUCUAAGGAACCCCAGCUCCCUUGCCCAGCCCCCUGCCCACCCUGGCCUGGACCUUGGGAGGCCAGGCUGGCUGAGGGUCCUGCAUCCACAGGUGACUGGGAAGUUCCGCGGGGGUGUGAACCCUUUCACCCGAGGCUGCUGUGGGAAUGUGGAGCACGUGCUGUGUAGCCCCCUGGCGCCCCGGUGGGCUGGCUACUGACCCCUGUGCCCUGGUGCAGGUACGUGGUGGAGCCACCCCGGCUGCCGCUCGCGGUGAGUUUGAAGCCGCCUUUCCUUAGGCCUGAACUCCUGGACCGAGCUGCACCGCUCAAGGUCAAGCUUAGUGACAACGGGCUGAAGGCUGGCCUGGGCCGUAGCAAGUCCAAGGGCAGCCUGGACCGGCUGGAUGAGAAGCCACUGGACUUGGGGCCACCACUGCCCCCCAAGAUAGAGGCUGGCACGUUCAGCAGUGACCUGCAGACCCCGCGCCC
This 591-nucleotide long non-coding RNA is filed under the name Homo sapiens (human). RNAcentral's name for it is "HSALNT0275387". Lineage: Eukaryota; Metazoa; Chordata; Mammalia; Primates; Hominidae. The record is from RNAcentral.